Molecule: long non-coding RNA, 333 nt
Organism: Hipposideros armiger (great roundleaf bat)
Lineage: Eukaryota; Metazoa; Chordata; Mammalia; Chiroptera; Hipposideridae
Exons: 3
Source: RefSeq, a predicted model, not a curated record
AGCGAAACAAGUGGAAGUCUGAUGGCGCAACGUCAGAUCCCACUGAGAUGUACAAUGGAUUCACCUCGCAGACCAGACAAAUGAAACUACUCAAAGUACUGAUCGUGCCAUGCUGUUUCACAACUCUGUUCAAGCUGAUGUCUCCAAUUGGCACUUCCUGCCUGCUGUGAUCCAGUGGAAAGCUUAACUCCUUCUAUAAAAUUAAGCUCAAUGAACAUGUACUCUGUGAUCACUCCUCCUCUACAACAGUGCUAUAAUGUGUUAAUGACAAUUAAGUGUAUUGAGCCCUACAAUAGUUAUGCGCUUGCCCAUUUUAACUUAUUUAAUUCAUCC